CUGAGAGGUUGAACGGCCACACUGGAACUGAGAUACGGUCCAGACUCCUACGGGAGGCAGCAGUGGGGAAUUUUGCGCAAUGGGCGAAAGCCUGACGCAGCGACGCCGCGUGGAGGAUGAGGGUUUUCGGAUUGUAAACUCCUUUUGUAGGGGAAAAUAAUGAUGGUACCCUAUGAAUAAGCCACGGCUAACUCUGUGCCAGCAGCCGCGGUAAGACAGAGGUGGCAAGCGUUGUUCGGAAUUACUGGGCUUAAAGGGCGCGUAGGUGGUGGCAUAAGUCCGAGGUGGAAGACUAAGGCUUAACCUUAGAAUUGCCUUGGAUACUGUAUCACUUGAGUCAGCGAGGGGAUGGCGGAAUUCCAGGUGUAGCGGUGAAAUGCGUAGAUAUCUGGUCGAAGGCCGGUAGCGAAGGCGGCCAUCUGGCGCUGAGCUGACACUGAGGCGCGAAAGCGUGGGGAGCAAACAGGAUUAGAUACCC
RNAcentral lists this ribosomal RNA (478 nucleotides) under uncultured bacterium. RNAcentral describes it as "bacterial SSU rRNA". It matches the Rfam family "Bacterial small subunit ribosomal RNA", at positions 292 to 787 of the family's 1533-position model. The record is from RNAcentral.